This is a non-coding RNA of Globicephala melas (long-finned pilot whale), 4006 nucleotides long. The record is from RefSeq and is a predicted model, not a curated record. Lineage: Eukaryota; Metazoa; Chordata; Mammalia; Artiodactyla; Delphinidae.
GGGCGGGGCGGCCCUGAGCUCACGGGCGUCUCGUGUAUUUCUGGGGCGUCAGCCAGCCAGGCACCGCCAGCCCCGUGUUAAGGUCUGAGCCCCUCCGGCUGUCUCGGGUUUAUGGAGUCUACGCUGUGUGCCGUGCCUCCUGCCAGGAGCUGUCGCGCAUUUUGCCGCGUUUGCUCUUCGGCAGCCUGCUGAGUCAGGUGCCGUCGCCCUGAGAGCCCUCGUGUGUCUUGGGCAGGUCUGUGCAGAGGACGCCGUCUCCGACCACGGCUUCGAGUUGGGCUGCCGUUACCUCGCUAAGUGACCUCCAGAAGGCAAGCAGAGUUCCUGGGUCUGGGUGUCCCUGUGCGGGAUUGGACCCCGGGACUUUAUUGGGGCCGCAUCCAGACCCCUUUACUGCCUGGUGCCUCCAUCUCCGGCUUCUGGGUGUGCUGGGGGCCAACAGCUCACAGCCGCCCCCUUCUCUGAAUAGUUAAUUGUCCUUGGGGAACUGCUGCGCCCUGGAAGUUACCACUCCCCAAACGCCUGGAGCUCAUGGCUGACUGGGGUUGCAGUAUAAAGGCCCAGCUCCUUUGCCUCCAAGAGAGUUGACUCGUGCUAUUCGUGCUCCGAGCUCCUCUGGAAUGAAGUUGAAGGAGUGAGAAUCCAGAAUAAUGAGAGGACAGCCAGCAGGGGAAGGAAGUCCCCGGGAGGCGAGUUGGUCUGUUUGUAUUUUCCUUAUUUUAACAUGCAUUUUGUUAUUGUGUGCUUUUGCUAGGAAAUCACCAAUUUCCUGUGGAUUUCCAGUUUGAUGCAAUAGGUUUCUCUUAUUUGAGUUUUAAUUUUUCCUCUUUCUCUAGUUUUCAACAGAAUUGUCACAAUUACGAACAAAUGUGGGUACCUUAUUGUUAACUAAAAUCCAUAUUUUAUUUGGAUUCCCUUCGUUCUUCCAUUUUGUGUCCUAGGAUCCCAUCCAGGGUAUCCCAUGGCAUUGAGUCAUAAUGUCACUUUAGUAUGUUUUCGGCUUUGACAUUUUCUCACACUGUCCUUCACUCUAUGACCUCAGCAGUGUUGAGGUGGACUAGUCAGGUAUUUCGUAGAUUGUCCCGCAUUGGGAUUUACUUGGUGUUUUUCUUGUGAUUAAAAUGGGGUCACGGGUUUUGAGGAAGCAGAUCACAGGGGUAAAGUGCUUUCUUGUGACUUUAUAUCGUGGGAACAUACAUCAGGGCAACUUAUCACUGUUCAUGUUAGCUUUAUCUUCUGGCUCAGGUAGUGUUUGUCAGAUUUUCCCCACUGUGAAGUUACUUUUUCCCUAAGUCUGUACUGUGUGUCUUCUUUAGGGUGAAGCCACUGUGUGGCACCCACACUUCAGGAGAGGGGAGUAUUUUAUUUACCGCUGCUGUGUACUAACAUUUGAAAUUGGGCAGUGUGACCCUCCAACUUUGAAUUUCUUUUGAAAAAUUGUUUUAGCUCUUUGGGGUCUCUAGAAAUUCCGUAUUUUGGCGUUUCACAUUUUGCUCCCUUUCACAUGGAUGUACCCCAGUUUGCUUAUGCAUUCAUCUACUGAAGACAUCCUGAUUCCAUUUAGGUUUAGACAUUAUGAGUAGAGCUUCCGUGCACAAUAGCAUCCUUGUUUUUGUUUGGAUAGAGUUUUACAAAGCAGUUGUGUAAUUAUUGAAGGUGUGAGAAGUUGUGUAAUUAUCUCAAGGUGUGAGACUUGUUUGGCUCUGGAAAAUCCUGCCAAACUGUAUCUCAAGGCCGUCUACGCGUUCCAUCGGCGAUGAAGGAGAGCUGUUGUUCCCCACCCUCCAGUGAUCAGGGUCGUCCUUGUGGGAGGAGCAGAUGUGGCCUCUCCCGUUGCGGAGCAACAGGCUUCGGACGCGCAGGCUCAGCGGCCAUGGCUCACGGGCACAGCCGCUCCGCGGCAUGUGGGAUCUUCGCAGACCGGGGCACGAACCCGCGUCCCCUGCAUCGGCAGGCGGACUCUCAACCACUGCGCCACCAGGGAAGCCCUAACACAACAUUGUAAAUCAACUAUACUUCAAUAAAAAAAAUUAAUUUACAAAGAACAUGUUACUUUUUUCCUUUUGUGCAUUGGCUUUUUGUGUUGUGUGUUAAAAGUCAGACCUCAUGAUCUAUGUGCCCAAACCCAUGGUCAUGUAGAUUUUCUUCUAUGUUUUCUUUUAUAGUUUUUAUAGUUUUAUAUUUUAAAUUUGUCUGUGGACACUUUGGAAUGACUUUUGGUGUAAGUUGCAAAGUCUGUGUCUACAUUCAUUUCAUUGCAUAUGGUUUCUGAUUGUUCUAUACCUAUUUUUCAAGAAGUCAUGGCAUAUUUGCUGCCAUAUGUUUGAAUUUCCAAACAUUAGUGGAUUCAGCAGGACGGCCAGCAGGGAACUCGGUCUCCUCUGAACUGGGAGUGGGUGCAGCCUGCAUUACCCACUUUGCCAGCACAGGGCUGGUCCUGUGCACAGCUGACAGGAGCCUGGCCUCCUCAGGAACCUCCAAGGAUUUGGCUUCGGGACAGUGCAGGGCUGCAUCCACGUUGAGACGAGCUCGGUUUCCUCAGGACUGGCUGGGAGGUGCCUCCCUGGGAGAAAAGGGUGAGGAAAAAGUGGGGAGAAGCUUGCUGUGCUGACUGCCUGGCUGACUGCCUGGGGUGGGUGUCUGUUUCCAGAGGACCCAGCAGAGGAGGGGCUUGAUGUGGAAAACUGUGGGUUUUAGUGAGUUUUGUGUGUGCUGCAGUGUCCCGUGUCCUCCUUUGGCUUGUGAUGUUCCAUUUUCCAGGCAGUUUAUUGAGGGGACUGUCCUUUCCCUGGGGUAUGUCCUUGGCAGCUUUGGCAUAAAUCAACUGACCACAUGUGUGUGGGCUUAUUCUUGGGCUCUCUAUUCUAUUCUUAUGGCCCCUUUGUCUCUUUCUGUGUCAUUUCUACACUGUUUGGUUACUGUAGCUUCGUAAUAUGGUUUGAAGUCAGGGAGUGAGUUUCCUCCAGCUGCUGCUCUCCUUUCUUAGGAUCCCCUUGGCUGUUCGGGGUCCUUUGUGUUUCCAUACAAAUGUCAGGACUGUUAGUUCAGUUUCUGUGAAAAAUGCCUUUGGCAUUUUUGUAGGAAUUGCAUUGAAUGUGUAUAUUUGGGUAGAAUGAACAUUUUAGCACUACUAAUUCUUUCUGUCCAUGAGCACAGGGUAUCUUUCCAUUUAUUUACGUCUUCAAUUUCUUCAUCAAUGUCAUAACAUUUUCAGUGUGCAGGUCUUUCACAUCUUUGGGUAAGUUUAAUCCUAGGUAUUUUGUUCUUCUGAUGUUACGGUAAAUGGGGUUGUUUUCUUAAUUUCUCUAAUAGAUUUUUGGUGGGUUGAUGUGGAAAACUGGAAUUAGAAAUCCCACUGUUUCUACCACAUCCAGGUCAUCCAGAACACCCAAGAUGGGACUUCCCUGGUGGUGCAGUGGUUAAGAGUCCACCUGCCAAUGCACGGGACGUGGGUUCGAUCCCUGCUCCAGGAAGAUCCCACAUGCCGCGGGGCAACUAAGCCCGUGAGCCACAACUACUGAGCCCGCGUGCGGCAACUACUGAAGCCCGUGCACCUAGAGCCCGUGCUCCUCAACAAGAGAAGCCACCGCAAUGAGAAGCCCGCGCACGGCAACGAAGAGUAGGCAACGAAGAGUAGCCCCCGCUUUCCGCAACUAGAGAAAGCCUGCGUGCAGCAACGAAGACCCAACGCAACCAUAAAUAAAUAAAUAAAUAAAUUAAUUUAAAAAAAUAACUAGACUGUCUUUUCUGAUCUGCAUGUGUUCAGUGUACAAUUCUUGUACACCUUUUCCCUCACCUCUAUUGGAGGCUGAUUCAGAACACAUACAACCUCCUGGAGAAACUUGCCCCGACCCUGCUAUGUACUGCCACCUAGCUGGCCUGGUACUGAGUCACCAAAAACUUUUGUUCUUUACUUGAUUCUUAAUUCCUUUAGAAUUCAUUACUUUACUGUUAUAAAUGUUUAUUGUGCUUGUAAUAAAUCUUUUAAUAAAUCAUUUUUAUUUUA